AUUGAACGCUGGCGGUAUGCUUAACACAUGCAAGUCGAACGAUGAGAAAGAGCUUGCUCUUUCGAUUAGUGGCGGACGGGUGCGUAACGCGUAGGAAUCUACCUAUUAGUGGGGGACAACUUAGGGAAACUUAAGCUAAUACCGCAUACGCCCUACGGGGGAAAGAAGGGGAUCGCAAGACCUUUUGCUAAUAGAUGAGCCUGCGUAGGAUUAGCUAGUUGGUGGGGUAAAAGCUCACCAAGGCAACGAUCCUUAACUGGUUUGAGAGAAGGAUCAGGCACACUGGAACUGAGACACGGUCCAGACUCCUACGGGAGGCAGCAGUGGGGAAUAUUGGACAAUGGGCGAAAGCCUGAUCCAGCAAUACCGCGUGUGUGAAGAAGGCCUUAGGGUUGUAAAGCACUUUCAAUUGGAAGGAAAACCUCGAAGCUAAUACCUUCGAGUUUGACAUUACCUUUAGAAGAAGCACCGGCUAACUCCGUGCCAGCCGCCGCGGUAA
This 499-nucleotide ribosomal RNA is filed under the name uncultured bacterium. RNAcentral's name for it is "partial 16S ribosomal RNA". It matches the Rfam family "Bacterial small subunit ribosomal RNA", at positions 30 to 523 of the family's 1533-position model. The record is from RNAcentral.